AGGACGAACGCUGGCGGCACGCCUAACACAUGCAAGUCGAACGGAGAUUUGAGAGCUUGCUCUUGAAUCUUAGUGGCGGACGGGUGAGUAACACGUGAGCAACCUGCCUCUGAGAGAGGGAUAGCUUCUGGAAACGGAUGGUAAUACCUCAUAACAUAGCUGGACCGCAUGAUCCGGUUAUCAAAGAUUUAUCACUCAGAGAUGGGCUCGCGUCUGAUUAGCUAGUUGGUGAGGUAACGGCCCACCAAGGCGACGAUCAGUAGCCGGACUGAGAGGUUGAACGGCCACAUUGGGACUGAGACACGGCCCAGACUCCUACGGGAGGCAGCAGUGAGGGAUAUUGCACAAUGGAGGAAACUCUGAAUGCAGCGAUGCCGCGUGGAGGAAGAAGGUUUUCGGAUUGUAAACUCCUGUUUCGAGGGACGAUAAUGACGGUACCUCGGGAGGAAGCUCCGGCUAACUACGUGCCAGCCGCUGC
This 478-nucleotide ribosomal RNA is filed under the name uncultured bacterium. RNAcentral describes it as "bacterial SSU rRNA". It matches the Rfam family "Bacterial small subunit ribosomal RNA", at positions 26 to 518 of the family's 1533-position model. The record is from RNAcentral.